UCUCUUCCAUUUAAGAGUCUGCAACUUUCGAAGCUCUCAAUAAAAAAUGGUCUACAACCCUAACAAUUGGGCAUUUGUUUGAAUUGCAUCAACAAGCUCCAAAGUUGUUCAAUUAAACGGUCUACCAAGCUCUAAAAUUUGGCCUUUGCUUGAUUUGAACUAAAAGUCAAAGAUGAAGCACAAACUUCCAUAAGCAGAAGAGGCGAACGUUGCAGCCCCUCAAUGCUACUAUGGGAAGAUUGCUAGGCUUCAAACUUCAUGGACAGAAUCAAACCCACUGUGGAGGUUCCAUUCAUGUCCAAAGAGGCGAAACAAUGGCUGUAGUUUUUUCCAAUGGGUUGAUGGUGAGUGCCUCCACAUGAGAAAACUUUGAUGGGUUGGCUAUUGAGGACAAUGAGAGAACUGGAAGACCUAGUUGGACGUGGAAGAGGAAGAGAGAUGAAGCUAUGGUUUGCUCCGUUGGUUUUAUGGGGUGCACUGAUUAUUAAACACAUUUUGAAUUAAUCUUGGGUUGGUUUGAGUGCAGCAAAAUAGGAAGAAUGGUUAACAUGUUGAAUUAAUCUUGGAUUGGUUUGAGUGCAAUGGUAACAUUUUGAGGCUAAGAUCCAUGAGAUUGCUUUGUACAAUGUUGGAAUGGUUAACUUGGAAAAAUUUGGAAGAAUGGUUAACUUGUGUAAUUUUGCUCAAUGUAAUUUUGAAUGGUGAACUUGUGCAAUUUUGCUC
Long non-coding RNA from Prunus dulcis (almond), 723 nucleotides. RefSeq lists it as uncharacterized. NCBI's taxonomy places the organism in Eukaryota, Viridiplantae, Streptophyta, Magnoliopsida, Rosales, Rosaceae. The transcript has 2 exons. The record is from RefSeq and is a predicted model, not a curated record.